This 67-nucleotide transfer RNA is filed under the name Psenopsis anomala (melon seed). RNAcentral describes it as "tRNA-Cys". Lineage: Eukaryota; Metazoa; Chordata; Actinopteri; Scombriformes; Centrolophidae. The record is from RNAcentral.
AGCUCCGAAGUGUUUGUCACAUGAAAUUGCAAAUUUCAAGGAGCAAACUAGUCGUUUGCCGGGGCUU